GGGUGCGAUCAUACCACCACUAAUGCACCGAAUCCCAUCAGAACUCCGCUGUUAGAUCCCAUCAGAACUCUGCAGUGAAGCGUGCUUGGGCGAGAGUAGUAUUAGGAUGGGUGACCUCCCGGGAAGUCCUCGUGUUGCACCCC
Molecule: ribosomal RNA, 143 nt
Filed under: Brassica oleracea var. oleracea
Lineage: Eukaryota; Viridiplantae; Streptophyta; Magnoliopsida; Brassicales; Brassicaceae
Source: RNAcentral